Molecule: ribosomal RNA, 433 nt
Filed under: uncultured bacterium
Lineage: Bacteria
Description: partial 16S ribosomal RNA
Rfam family: Bacterial small subunit ribosomal RNA
Source: RNAcentral
AACGAACGCUGGCGGCAUGCCUAACACAUGCAAGUCGAACGAGACCUUCGGGUCUAGUCGCGCACGGGUGCGUAACGCGUGGGAACCUGCCCUUAGGUUCGGAAUAACUCCCCGACUGGGGUGCUAAUACCGGAUCAUGUCUUCGGCCGAAAGAUUUAUCGCCCUUGGUUGUGCGCGCGUUGGAUUCGCUAGUUGUUAGGGUAAAAGCCUACCAAGGGGACGAUCCGUAGCUGGUCUGAGAGGAUGGUCAGCCACACUGGGACGCGGAAACGGCCCAGAAUCCUACGGGAGGCGGGAGUGGGGAAUAUUGGAAAAUGGGGGAAAGGCUGAACCAGCAAGGACGCGAGAGUGAUGAAGGCAGUAGGGUUGUAAAGCGCAUUUAACCGGGAUGAUAAUGACAGUACCGGGAGAAUAAGCCCCGGCUAACUCCGUG